CCUACGGGUGACAGCAGUGAGGAAUAUUGGUCAAUGGACGAGAGUCUGAACCAGCCAAGUCGCGUGAAGGAUGACUGCCCUAUGGGUUGUAAACUUCUUUUAUAUGGGAAUAAAAUGUUCCACGUGUGGGAUUUUGUAUGUACCAUAUGAAUAAGGAUCGGCUAACUCCGUGCCAGCAGCCGCGGUAAUUCGGCGGAUUCGAGCGUUAUCCGGAUUUAUUGGGUUUAAAGGGAGCGUAGGUGGAUUGUUAAGUUAGUUGUGAAAGUUUGCGGCUCAACCGUAAAAUUGCAGUUGAAACUGGCAGUCUUGAGUACAGUAGAGGUGGGCGGAAUUCGUGGUGUAGCGGUGAAAUGCUUAGAUAUCACGAAGAACUCCGAUUGCGAAGGCAGUUCACUGGACUGCAACUGACACUGAGGCUCGAAAGUGUGGGUAUCAAACAGGAUUAGAUACCCUAGUAGUC
This 460-nucleotide ribosomal RNA is filed under the name uncultured bacterium. RNAcentral's name for it is "partial 16S ribosomal RNA". It matches the Rfam family "Bacterial small subunit ribosomal RNA", at positions 338 to 795 of the family's 1533-position model. The record is from RNAcentral.